This 478-nucleotide ribosomal RNA is filed under the name uncultured bacterium. RNAcentral describes it as "partial 16S ribosomal RNA". It matches the Rfam family "Bacterial small subunit ribosomal RNA", at positions 28 to 507 of the family's 1533-position model. The record is from RNAcentral.
GAUGAACGCUGGCGGCGUGCUUAACACAUGCAAGUCGAACGGGAAUUCUUUUAUUGAAACUUCGGUCGAUUUAAUUUAAUUCUAUUGGCGGACGGUUGAGUAACGCGUGGGUAACCUGCCUUAUACAGGGGGAUAACAGUCAGAAAUGGCUGCUAAUACCGCAUAAGCUCACACAGCUGCAUGGCUCAGUUUUAAAAACUCCGGUGGUAUAAUAUGGACCCGCGUUGUUUUAGCUGGUUGGUGGGGUAACUGCCCACCAAGGCGACGAUCCAUAGACGGCAUGAGAGGGAGAACGGAGACAUUGGGACAGAGACACGGCCGAGAAUCCUACGGAAGGCAGCAGUGGGGAAUAUUGCAAAAUGGGGGAAAACAUGAUGGAGCGACGACGCGUGAAGGAAGAAGUAGCUGGGAAUGUAAAGUUCUAUCAGCAGGGAAGAUAGUGACGGUACCUGACGAAGAAGCCCCGGCUAACUACGUG